This 573-nucleotide ribosomal RNA is filed under the name Russula sp. RNAcentral describes it as "SSU rRNA". It matches the Rfam family "Bacterial small subunit ribosomal RNA", at positions 348 to 965 of the family's 1533-position model. The record is from RNAcentral. Lineage: Eukaryota; Fungi; Basidiomycota; Agaricomycetes; Russulales; Russulaceae.
UCAGCAGUCCAAAAUAUUAGUCAAUGCUCCAAAGAGUGAACUAGCUAACUGAAAUCAAUUUUUAAAAUUGAUAACAUAAGGGAAAAUAAUGAUAUUACCUUAUUAUUAGUGUCGUCCAAAUUUGGUGCCAGAAGACUCGGUAAGGCCAGAGACACAAACGUUAAUCGUCUUAAUCAGGCGUAAAGGGUUUGUAGGCGGCUUUAAAAAUUAUUUAAAUAAAAAUUUAAUAAUUAAAGAAUAAAAGCUAGAAUCAAACAGAGGAUAUAUUAAAGAAUGCUUAGAGCAGGUCUGAUAUCCUUAGAUACUAAGUAGAAUAUUAAAGGCGAAAGCUUUUUUCCAUUAAUGAUUGACGCUCAGAAACGAAGGUGAGGAUAGGAAAUAGGAUUAGAUACCCAAAAUACCCCUCUCUGUCAACGAUGAAUGGUAGUUAUUAAUAAAAAUUAUUAUUAAUGACAAUGUUAACACGAUAACCAUUCCGCCUUGUGAGUACAACUGCAAAGUUGAAAACAAAAAAAUUAGUCGGUUUCGGAGCAAACGAAGUGAAGCAUGUUAUUUAAUUCAAUAAUCCGCAAA